RNAcentral lists this ribosomal RNA (453 nucleotides) under uncultured bacterium. RNAcentral's name for it is "partial 16S ribosomal RNA". It matches the Rfam family "Bacterial small subunit ribosomal RNA", at positions 28 to 506 of the family's 1533-position model. The record is from RNAcentral.
GAUGAACGCUGACAGAAUGCUUAACACAUGCAAGUCAACUUGAACUUCGGUUUGGGUGGCGGACGGGUGAGUAACGCGUAAAGAACUUGCCUCACAGCUAGGGACAACAUUUGGAAACGAAUGCUAAUACCUGAUAUUAUGAUUUUAGGGCAUCCUAGAAUUAUGAAAGCUAUAUGCGCUGUGAGAGAGCUUUGCGUCCCAUUAGCUAGUUGGAGAGGUAACGGCUCACCAAGGCGAUGAUGGGUAGCCGGCCUGAGAGGGUGAACGGCCACAAGGGGACUGAGACACGGCCCUUACUCCUACGGGAGGCAGCAGUGGGGAAUAUUGGACAAUGGACCAAGAGUCUGAUCCAGCAAUUCUGUGUGCACGAUGAAGUUUUUCGGAAUGUAAAGUGCUUUCAGUUGGGAAGAAAAAAAUGACGGUACCAACAGAAGAAGUGACGGCUAAAUACGU